This 96-nucleotide small RNA is filed under the name Saccharomonospora sp. CUA-673. RNAcentral describes it as "Mycobacterium sRNA ncrMT1302". It matches the Rfam family "Mycobacterium sRNA ncrMT1302". Lineage: Bacteria; Bacillati; Actinomycetota; Actinomycetes; Pseudonocardiales; Pseudonocardiaceae. The record is from Rfam by way of RNAcentral.
AAGUGACUGAUCCGAAGAGCUGGCGUCCGGGGUGUGAGGCUGGCCGCGCAGGAUUCGUAGGCGCCCCCGUGUGUCCUUCUGGGUCCGCCCAUCGUG